RNAcentral lists this long non-coding RNA (256 nucleotides) under Vigna radiata. RNAcentral describes it as "long non-coding RNA (VRAD_LNC005300)". The record is from RNAcentral. Lineage: Eukaryota; Viridiplantae; Streptophyta; Magnoliopsida; Fabales; Fabaceae.
CAAAAUGCAACAGUACAGGUUAAAUACUACUUAGCUCAAUCACUUGGUGCUCGAACCAAAGCUUUGGAUAUCACUUGAUUGACUCACUUCCUGGCUUGGAGCAUCAAUUCCAAAAGCAAAGUAUCAUAAAGUUCUCUUCUCCUUUUGAAAAACUUAUUCUGCAAAACAAAGCAACAGAGUUUUUGGUACCCAUAAUCUUAUUUGGGUCCUUGAGGUUAGAGACAUAUUACUUUAUGACAGGAAUCCAAGCAUAUUU